UGUGGCACAACUAUUUCUUAUGUGGAC
RNAcentral lists this non-coding RNA (27 nucleotides) under Homo sapiens (human). Lineage: Eukaryota; Metazoa; Chordata; Mammalia; Primates; Hominidae. The record is from RNAcentral.